RNAcentral lists this ribosomal RNA (396 nucleotides) under uncultured bacterium. Its description in RNAcentral is "partial 16S ribosomal RNA". It matches the Rfam family "Bacterial small subunit ribosomal RNA", at positions 523 to 918 of the family's 1533-position model. The record is from RNAcentral.
CUACGUAGGUGGCAAGCGUUAUCCGGAUUUACUGGGUGUAAAGGGCGCGUAGGCGGGGGUGCAAGUCAGAUGUGAAAUCUAUGGGCUUAACUCAUAAACUGCAUUUGAAACUGUAUCUCUUGAGUGCUGGAGAGGUAGACGGAAUUCCUUGUGUAGCGGUGAAAUGCGUAGAUAUAAGGAAGAACACCAGUGGCGAAGGCGGUCUACUGGACAGUAACUGACGCUGAGGCGCGAAAGCGUGGGGAGCAAACAGGAUUAGAUACCCUGGUAGUCCACGCUGUAAACGAUGAAUACUAGGUGUGGGGGGACUGACCCCCUCCGUGCCGCAGUUAACACAAUAAGUAUUCUACCUGGGGAGUACGGCCGCAAGGUUGAAACUCAAAUGAAUUGACGGGG